UCCCUGGUGGUCUAGUGGUUAGGAUA
Molecule: non-coding RNA, 26 nt
Filed under: Xenopus tropicalis (tropical clawed frog)
Lineage: Eukaryota; Metazoa; Chordata; Amphibia; Anura; Pipidae
Also listed under: 10 other names
Source: RNAcentral